AGAGUUUGAUCCUGGCUCAGGAUGAACGCUAGCGGCAGGCUUAACACAUGCAAGUCGAGGGGUAACAUUGUAGCUUGCUACAGAUGACGACCGGCGCACGGGUGCGUAACGCGUAUACAAUCUACCUUUUGCUGAGGGAUAGCCCAGAGAAAUUUGGAUUAAGACCUCAUGGUAUGUUUAAUGGCAUCAUUUAUACAUUAAAGGUUACGGCAAAAGAUGAGUAUGCGUUCUAUUAGCUAGAUGGUGUGGUAACGGCACACCAUGGCAACGAUAGAUAGGGGCCCUGAGAGGGGGAUCCCCCACACUGGUACUGAGACACGGACCAGACUCCUACGGGAGGCAGCAGUGAGGAAUAUUGGGCAAUGGAGGCAACUCUGACCCAGCCAUGCCGCGUGCAGGAAGACUGCCCUAUGGGUUGUAAACUGCUUUUAUACAGGAAGAAACACUCUCACGUGUGAGAGCUUGACGGUACUGUAAGAAUAAGGAUCGGCUAACUCCGUGCCAGCAGCCGCGGUAAUACGGAGGAUCCAAGCGUUAUCCGGAAUCAUUGGGUUUAAAGGGUCCGUAGGUGGAUAAUUAAGUCAGAGGUGAAAUCCUGCAGCUCAACUGUAGAAUUGCCUUUGAAACUGGUUAUCUUGAGUUAUUAUGAAGUAGUUAGAAUAUGUAGUGUAGCGGUGAAAUGCAUAGAUAUUACAUAGAAUACCAAUUGCAAGGCAGAUUACUAAUAAUACACUGACGCUGAGGUACGAAAGCGUGGGUAGCGAACGGGAUUAGAUACCCCGGUAGUCCACGCCCUAAACGAUGAGAACUAGCUGUUGGGACUUCGGUCUGAGUGGCUAAGCGAAAGUGAUAAGUUCUCCGCCUGGGGAGUACGGCCGCAAGGUUAAAACUCAAAUGAAUUGACGGGGGCCCGCACAAGCGGUGGAGCAUGUGGUUUAAUUCGAUCAACGCGAAGAACCUUACCAUCCCUUGACAUCCACAGAAGCCAGUAGAGAUACAGGUGUGCCUUCGGGAACUGUGUGACAGGUGCUGCAUGGCUGUCGUCAGCUCGUGUUGUGAAAUGUUGGGUUAAGUCCCGCAACGAGCGCAACCCCUAUCCUUAUUUGCCAGCGCGUUAUGGCGGGAACUCUAAGGAGACUGCCGGUGAUAAACCGGAGGAAGGUGGGGACGACGUCAAGUCAUCAUGGCCCUUACGGGAUGGGCUACACACGUGCUACAAUGGCAGGUAAAGAGGCUGCCAACCCGCGAGGGUGAGCGAAUCCCAAAAAGCCGGUCUAAGUUCGGAUUGUAGUCUGCAACUCGACUGCAUGAAGUCGGAAUCGCUAGUAAUCGUCUAUCAGCAACGAGACGGUGAAUACGUUCCCGGGCCUUGUACACACCGCCCGUCAAGCCAUGGAAGCCGGGAGUGCCCGAAGUCUGUGACCCAACCUAGUGAGGGAGCAGCCGAAGGUAAGUUCGGUGACUGGGGCUAAGUCGUAACAAGGUAAC
This 1488-nucleotide ribosomal RNA is filed under the name uncultured prokaryote. Its description in RNAcentral is "partial 16S ribosomal RNA". It matches the Rfam family "Bacterial small subunit ribosomal RNA". The record is from RNAcentral.